Molecule: ribosomal RNA, 397 nt
Filed under: uncultured bacterium
Lineage: Bacteria
Description: partial 16S ribosomal RNA
Rfam family: Bacterial small subunit ribosomal RNA
Source: RNAcentral
AUACGUAGGUGGCAAGCGUUGUCCGGAAUUAUUGGGCGUAAAGCGCGCGCAGGCGGUCCUUUAAGUCUGAUGUGAAAGCCCACGGCUCAACCGUGGAGGGUCAUUGGAAACUGGGGGACUUGAGUGCAGAAGAGGAAAGUGGAAUUCCAAGUGUAGCGGUGAAAUGCGUAGAGAUUUGGAGGAACACCAGUGGCGAAGGCGACUUUCUGGUCUGUAACUGACGCUGAGGCGCGAAAGCGUGGGGAGCAAACAGGAUUAGAUACCCUGGUAGUCCACGCCGUAAACGAUGAGUGCUAAGUGUUAGGGGGUUUCCGCCCCUUAGUGCUGCAGCUAACGCACUAAGCACUCCGCCUGGGGAGUACGGUCGCAAGACUGAAACUCAAAGGAAUUGACGGGG